RNAcentral lists this transfer RNA (74 nucleotides) under Nelumbo nucifera (sacred lotus). It matches the Rfam family "tRNA". Rfam says of the family: Transfer RNA (tRNA) molecules are approximately 80 nucleotides in length. Their secondary structure includes four short double-helical elements and three loops (D, anti-codon, and T loops). Lineage: Eukaryota; Viridiplantae; Streptophyta; Magnoliopsida; Proteales; Nelumbonaceae. The record is from Rfam by way of RNAcentral.
GCGGAUGUAGCCAAGUGGAUCAAGGCAGUCAAUUGUGAAUCCACCACGUGCGGGUUCAAUCCCUGUCGUUCGCC